AUCGAACGCUGGCGGCAGGCCUAACACAUGCAAGUCGAGCGGAUGAAGGGAGCUUGCUCCUGGAUUCAGCGGCGGACGGGUGAGUAAUGCCUAGGAAUCUGCCUGGUAGUGGGGGAUAACGUCCGGAAACGGGCGCUAAUACCGCAUACGUCCUGUGGGAGGAAGUGGGGGAUCUUCGGACCUCACGCUAUCAUCUGAGCCUAGGUCGGAUUAGCUGGUUCGUGGGUUAAAGGCCUACCAAGGCUACGAUCCGUAACUGGUCUGAGAGGAUGAUCAGUCACACUGUGAGAGAGACACGGCCGCGACUCCUACAGGAGGCCGCAGUGGGGAAUAUUGGAGGAUGGGGGAAAGCCUGAUCCAGCCAUGCCGCGUGUGUGAAGAAGGUCUUCGGAUUGUAAAGCACUUUAAGUUGGGAGGAAGGGCAGUAAGUUAAUACCGUGCUGUUUUGACGUUACCAACAGAAUAAGCUCCGGCUAACUUCGUG
Molecule: ribosomal RNA, 484 nt
Filed under: uncultured bacterium
Lineage: Bacteria
Description: partial 16S ribosomal RNA
Rfam family: Bacterial small subunit ribosomal RNA
Source: RNAcentral